Molecule: ribosomal RNA, 460 nt
Filed under: uncultured bacterium
Lineage: Bacteria
Description: partial 16S ribosomal RNA
Rfam family: Bacterial small subunit ribosomal RNA
Source: RNAcentral
CCUACGGGAGGCAGCAGUGAGGAAUAUUGGUCAAUGGGCGCUAGCCUGAACCAGCCAAGUAGCGUGAAGGAUGACUGCCCUAUGGGUUGUAAACUUCUUUUAUAUAGGAGUAAAUUGCAGUAUGUAUACUGCUUUGCAUGUACCUUAUGAAUAAGGAUCGGCUAACUCCGUGCCAGCAGCCGCGGUAAUACGGAGGAUUCGAGCGUUAUCCGGAUUUAUUGGGUGUAAAGGGAGCGUAGGCGGUUUGUUAAGUCAGUUGUGAAAGUUUGCGGCUCAACCGUAAAAUUGCAGUUGAUACUGGCAUCCUUGAGUACAGUAGAGGUAGGCGGAAUUCGUGGUGUAGCGGUGAAAGGCUUAGAUAUCACGAAGAACUCCGAUUGCGAAGGCAGCCUGCUGGACUGUAACUGACGCUGAUGCUCGAAAGUGUGGGGAUCAAACAGGAUUAGAUACCCGGGUAGUC